RNAcentral lists this long non-coding RNA (212 nucleotides) under Carica papaya (papaya). Its description in RNAcentral is "long non-coding RNA (CPAP_LNC005512)". The record is from RNAcentral. Lineage: Eukaryota; Viridiplantae; Streptophyta; Magnoliopsida; Brassicales; Caricaceae.
AAACAUGAACAUAAUUUAAUUAUUUAGGAAAUGACCAAAAUGAUCUUAGACAUUCGUUCUAAAUUUUUCCCACAUACUUGGACAAAAUUAAAGAUCUUCUUUGGCUUUUUUAAUUCUUCAAAUAGUUCAAAUGUGCUAAGUUCUUGUUAUAUCCAUCUUUGUAUGAAUUCUUGAAAUGUAUGUUUUAGCUUCUUGGCUUGAAAUCUUGUGAU